UACAGAGGGGGCAAGCGUUGUUCGGAAUUACUGGGCGUAAAGGGCGCGUAGGCGGCCGCCUAAGUCAGACGUGAAAUCCCUCGGCUCAACCGGGGAACUGCGUCUGAUACUGGGCGGCUUGAAUCCGGGAGAGGGAUGCGGAAUUCCAGGUGUAGCGGUGAAAUGCGUAGAUAUCUGGAGGAACACCGGUGGCGAAGGCGGCAUCCUGGACCGGUAUUGACGCUGAGGCGCGAAAGCCAGGGGAGCAAACGGG
RNAcentral lists this ribosomal RNA (253 nucleotides) under uncultured bacterium. Its description in RNAcentral is "partial 16S ribosomal RNA". It matches the Rfam family "Bacterial small subunit ribosomal RNA", at positions 524 to 776 of the family's 1533-position model. The record is from RNAcentral.